GACUCUGUAGCUCAGUUGGUUAGAGUACUGCACCGGAAUAACAUGGCCGCAGCUUCGAUUUCUGCCAGAGGGC
Paramuricea clavata is the source of this 73-nucleotide non-coding RNA. The record is from the annotation of a GenBank genome assembly. NCBI's taxonomy places the organism in Eukaryota, Metazoa, Cnidaria, Anthozoa, Malacalcyonacea, Plexauridae.